GUAUUCUCCACUGGUUGAAUGCAAAUGGAAGCCAGAGGAAAAGGGAACCCUUGACACAGUUUUCAUAUAGAUUGGCCUCCAGAGCAGACAGCAGUUGCUCUGGCUAUAUCAAAUAAAAGUGUCAAGAGUGAGCAUCCUUGCCUUGUGCUGAAUCACAAAGGAAUACCUUUCAGUUUUUCUCCAUUGAUUAUGAUAGCAGUGGGCUUUUCACAGUGGGCUUUAUUGUGUUGAGGAGGAGGUCUGAUGGCCGGGAGGACAGGAAGAAGGAACCCACAAUAAAGCAAAAGUCGCGUUUAACUCUGUCCUCACCAUUCCUCUCCUGGGCCUGUCCUAAACUGGAAGCUGGGGGAGGAUGGAGUGCUGGAAUGCUGCAGAAGUCUCAUGGGAGGGCGCCUGGUGUUCACCACAUGUGUACCCUGUUGCACGACCAG
Molecule: small RNA, 431 nt
Filed under: Pan troglodytes (chimpanzee)
Lineage: Eukaryota; Metazoa; Chordata; Mammalia; Primates; Hominidae
Description: processed transcript
Source: RNAcentral